GCGACUAAGCGUACACGGUGGAUGCCCUGGCAGUCAGAGGCGAUGAAGGACGUGCUAAUCUGCGAAAAGCGUCGGUAAGGUGAUAUGAACCGUUACAGCCGGCGAUGUCCGAAUGGGGAAACCCAGUGCAAUUCGUUGCACUAUCGUUAACUGAAUACAUAGGUUAACGAGGCGAACCGGGGGAACUGAAACAUCUAAGUACCCCGAGGAAAAGAAAUCAACCGAGAUUCCCCCAGUAGCGGCGAGCGAACGGGGAGCAGCCCAGA
Molecule: ribosomal RNA, 266 nt
Filed under: Klebsiella variicola
Lineage: Bacteria; Pseudomonadati; Pseudomonadota; Gammaproteobacteria; Enterobacterales; Enterobacteriaceae
Description: partial 23S ribosomal RNA
Rfam family: Bacterial large subunit ribosomal RNA
Source: RNAcentral